This 492-nucleotide ribosomal RNA is filed under the name uncultured bacterium. RNAcentral describes it as "partial 16S ribosomal RNA". It matches the Rfam family "Bacterial small subunit ribosomal RNA", at positions 29 to 507 of the family's 1533-position model. The record is from RNAcentral.
AGUGAACGCUGGCGGUAGGCCUAACACAUGCAAGUCGAACGGCAGCACAGUAAGAGCUUGCUCUUACGGGUGGCGAGUGGCGGACGGGUGAGGAAUACAUCGGAAUCUACUUUUUCGUGGGGGAUAACGUAGGGAAACUUACGCUAAUACCGCAUACGACCUACGGGUGAAAGCAGGGGAUCUUCGGACCUUGCGCGAUUGAAUGGGCCGAUGUCGGAUUAGCUAGUUGGCGGGGUAAAGGCCCACCAAGGCGACGAUCCGUAGCUGGUCUGAGAGGAUGAUCAGCCACACUGGAACUGAGACACGGUCCAGACUCCUACGGGAGGCAGCAGUGGGGAAUAUUGGACAAUGGGCGCAAGCCUGAUCCAGCCAUACCGCGUGGGUGAAGAAGGCCUUCGGGUUGUAAGGCCCUUUUGUUGGGAAAGAAAGGCAGCAGGUUAAUACCCCGCUGUUCUGACGGUACCCAAAGAAUAAGCACCGGCUAACUUCGUG